UACGAAGGGGGCUAGCGUUGCUCGGAAUUACUGGGCGUAAAGGGCGCGUAGGCGGAUACUUAAGUCGGGGGUGAAAGCCCGGGGCUCAACCUCGGAAUUGCCUUCGAUACUGGGUAUCUUGAGUUCGGGAGAGGUGAGUGGAAUGCCGAGUGUAGAGGUGAAAUUCGUAGAUAUUCGCAAGAACACCAGUGGCGAAGGCGGCUCACUGGCCCGAUACUGACGCUGAGGCACGAAAGCGUGGGGAGCAAACAGG
RNAcentral lists this ribosomal RNA (253 nucleotides) under uncultured bacterium. Its description in RNAcentral is "partial 16S ribosomal RNA". It matches the Rfam family "Bacterial small subunit ribosomal RNA", at positions 524 to 776 of the family's 1533-position model. The record is from RNAcentral.